CCUACGGGAGGCAGCAGUGGGGAAUAUUGGUCAAUGGGCGCAAGCCUGACCCAGCAACGCCGCGUGAAGGAAGAAUGCUUUCGGGUUUUAAACUUCUUUUUAUAGGGAAGAGUAGUAGACGGUACCUGCCGAAUAAUCUACAGCUAACUACGUGCCAGCAGCCGCGGCCUUACGGAGGUCGCAGGCGUUGUCCGGAUUUACUGGGUGUAACGGGUUUGUAGGCGGGUGGGAAAGUCAGAUGUGAAAUCCUGCGGCUUAACCGGAGAAGUGCAGUUGACACUGUGGUUCCUGAGUAUUGGGGAGGCAGACGGAAUUCCUGGUGUAGCGGUGAAAUGCGUAGAUAUCAGGAAGAACACCAGUGGCGAAGGCAGUCUGCUGGACAGCAACUGACGGGGAGGCGCGAAAGCGUGGGGAGCAAACAGGAUUAGAUACCCGUGUAGUC
Molecule: ribosomal RNA, 442 nt
Filed under: uncultured bacterium
Lineage: Bacteria
Description: partial 16S ribosomal RNA
Rfam family: Bacterial small subunit ribosomal RNA
Source: RNAcentral